This 465-nucleotide ribosomal RNA is filed under the name uncultured bacterium. RNAcentral describes it as "partial 16S ribosomal RNA". It matches the Rfam family "Bacterial small subunit ribosomal RNA", at positions 28 to 507 of the family's 1533-position model. The record is from RNAcentral.
GACGAACGCUGGCGGCGUGCUUAACACAUGCAAGUCGAACGGAAAGGCCCCUUUGGGGGUCCUCGAGUGGCGAACGGGUGCGUAACACGUGAGUAACCUGCCCUUGACUUCGGGAUAACUUCAGGAAACUGGGGCUAAUACCGGAUAGGAAUCCUUGCUGCAUGGUGGGGGUUGGAAAGCUUCGGCGGUUUUGGCUGGACUCACGGCUUAUCAGCUUGUUGGUGGGGUAGUGGCUUACGAAGGCUUUGACGGGUAGCCGGCCUGAGAGGGCGACCGGCCACAUUGGGACUGAGAGACGGCCCAGACUCCUACGGGAGGCAGCAGUGGGGAAUAUUGCACAAUGAGCGGAAGCCUGAUGCGGCAACGCCGCGUGCGGGAUGACGGCCUUCGGGUUGUAAACCGCGUUCAGCAGGGGCGAAGCUUGUGGUGACGGUACCUACAGAAGAAGCACCGGCUAACUACGUG